This 730-nucleotide ribosomal RNA is filed under the name bacterium IMCC11506. RNAcentral describes it as "bacterial SSU rRNA". It matches the Rfam family "Bacterial small subunit ribosomal RNA", at positions 28 to 749 of the family's 1533-position model. The record is from RNAcentral. RNAcentral also lists the same sequence under 1 other name.
AUUGAACGCUGGCGGUAUGCUUAACACAUGCAAGUCGAACGGAAACGAUACUAGCUUGCUAGUAGGCGUCGAGUGGCGGACGGGUGAGUAACGCGUAGGAAUCUGCCUGAUAGUGGGGGAUAGCCCGGAGAAAUUCGGAUUAAUACCGCAUAAUCUAUUCGUAGUAAAGUGGGGGACUUUCGAGCCUCACGCUAUCAGAUGAGCCUGCGUAAGAUUAGCUAGUUGGUAGGGUAAAAGCCUACCAAGGCGACGAUCUUUAGCUGGUCUGAGAGGAUGAUCAGCCACAUCGGGACUGAGACACGGCCCGAACUCCUACGGGAGGCAGCAGUGGGGAAUAUUGGACAAUGGGGGCAACCCUGAUCCAGCAAUACCGCGUGUGUGAAGAAGGCCUGAGGGUUGUAAAGCACUUUCAAUUGUGAAGAAAAGUUAGCGGUUAAUAACCGUUAGCCUUGACGUUAACUUUAGAAGAAGCACCGGCUAACUCCGUGCCAGCAGCCGCGGUAAUACGGAGGGUGCAAGCGUUAAUCGGAAUUACUGGGCGUAAAGCGUGCGUAGGCGGUUUAUUAAGUCAGAUGUGAAAGCCCCGGGCUUAACCUGGGAACUGCAUUUGAAACUGGUAAACUAGAGUAUGGUAGAGGAAAGUGGAAUUUCUGGUGUAGCGGUGAAAUGCGUAGAUAUCAGAAGGAACAUCAAUGGCGAAGGCAGCUUUCUGGACCAAUACUGACGCUGA